CAACCCUUAAGCCCUGUUGCUUAGCGUUGGGAGCCUACGGCCCAGCCGUAGCUCCUCAAAGUUAGUGGCGGAGUUGGUCCUCACUCUAGGCGUAGUAAUUCUAUCUCGCCUCUGCAGUGGUGCCGGCCCCUGCCGUAAAACCCCUAAUUUUCAAU
This 155-nucleotide unclassified non-coding RNA is filed under the name uncultured Xylariaceae. RNAcentral's name for it is "sequence contains ITS2". The record is from RNAcentral. Lineage: Eukaryota; Fungi; Ascomycota; Sordariomycetes; Xylariales; Xylariaceae.